UCUGCAACCUCAAUCAAUUUGCAAACACAGCAGAGUAAAAGAUUAAAAAGCAUGGUUUGAUUAAAAAAAGUACAAUCACCCUAGUGAAGCAAAACUUGAAGGGAAACCGAAGGCCAGCUCAUCCUUAAAAAAAAAAAAAAACCCCUCCAGUUUAAUUUGACGAUUUAUGGAUCAUAAUUACGUUGCGUUAUAUAGUAAUAACGUCAACUUUUUUUUUUCGGAAAAGAUUAGCAUUGCGAAAUAAAAAAUAGGAUGCUAAAUAAACUAGCAAACUAUGUGUUAGAUUGCAUAAACGAAGAUAUAAUGAGAGAUGCAAAGCGUACUCAAAUUCGUUUACCAUUGUAGUGUACAGACACUGUUUCGCGGUGAGCUAGCAUUCUUCAAUUCAAUCCACCACAUAUCCGAUAUAUACGAAAUGAAUGAAACAGUGAAUCAAUGCAAAUGUGAAUGAUCAAGAUAGAAGGUACAUUUUUUCUUGAAUGUAGAGAAAAAUGUGGGGAAGGUGUAUUUGCUAAAAAGUGGAUGAGUGAGUUUCAGAGCUUUCGUUCGUUGAACGAAGCAAGCCAAAAAAAAUAAAAAAAAGACUCCAAAGAAAAUACGAGGGGAAUGCAAGCAUUUAAAGGAAUAAAUACUUGCGAAUGCGGAAAUCGACUUAUUCUCGGUAUAAACAGACGACGGCACUAAUGGGGUUCCCCUGAAAAUAAGAAGGUUAAAGACCACAAUAUACCAUCGGCUUGGCAGUCAACAAAACAUCCUUGAAAUUUUCAAACUUGAAAACUAAUAAAAGAGGAAAUUAAUUAGAAUCGUAUAGAUUAGGAUAAGCUGAUAAAAUGUAUCUUAUAGAAUAUAUGACAAUUACUCAUUAACAGUAAUUGUAGAGAACUUGGCUAUCAUAAUGCUUUUCCAUACAAUUUGUUUUAAAAAAGUGAAAGGGAAAGGAUUGGAAAAUACAGGUAAUGAAAUAAAUAUAUCAGUACGAUAGACGAGGCAGGGAACAUUAAAUCAUUUGCAUUGAUUUUCCAAAUUUUGAAUGGUGCAAUAACUAAUCGGAUUGGGAACUCGGCGUAAAGUGGUAAACCAGUAAGUGAGAAAGAUGUCUGGAUCCGCAAAUUUUGUAAUCUGUCAAAGGAAGAAGUGGACCCUUUUAGAAUGUGCAGUCUAAUGAAAAUCAUGAUUUCCUACUUAACAUAAGAGAGUAUAUCUUUCCCAUGAAAAAUGAUUCAAAGAGACCACUUGCAAAACUUACCAACCCAAAAGCAAUUUCAGGUCUGGUUUUAGUAGCAGUAUAUAUUGGUUAAAAGGUUUUGAAAGGAAGAUGUAUUUGUAUUUCCUGAAUCAUAUGCAUGGAUUCAUUAAGACAUGCAUACUAUCAAGGAGGAAAAAGGAUGCUGUAAGACAUAAUUAACUAUGGGUCACUAUCGUAAUGGGAUAGAUGGUUUUCGGGGAUUAAAAGCAUGUAAUUAAUUUUCCUACUCUGCUGAUAAUCAAUUCCCAAUACCAUAUAUGAAUUUCGAAAUCCUUUGGUUUACUUUCAAUCAUCUGCCUAACUUAACAUCGAAAAUUCGGAUCUCAUCAACCGCAAUUAACUUCUGCUACCUUUUUUGCCCAUCUGUCCAACCUGCCUAAAUGUAUUUUUUUUUUAUUUGCCUAAUUGCGUUCUCUAUAUACACUCGCUAUAUGCUCUACUGUAGUAGGUCCACGUACGCUAUUAAUUAAGUUUCCACACUUGCUUGCAAUUGAAUAGGUUAUUUCUCAGCACACAACUCACAAA
Molecule: non-coding RNA, 1771 nt
Organism: Schizosaccharomyces pombe (fission yeast)
Lineage: Eukaryota; Fungi; Ascomycota; Schizosaccharomycetes; Schizosaccharomycetales; Schizosaccharomycetaceae
Source: the annotation of a GenBank genome assembly